Molecule: long non-coding RNA, 1431 nt
Filed under: Anser brachyrhynchus (Pink-footed goose)
Lineage: Eukaryota; Metazoa; Chordata; Aves; Anseriformes; Anatidae
Description: lncRNA (ENSABRG00000013764.1)
Source: RNAcentral
CCCGAGCGGGCGCUGCGCCAAAUGGCGGCGGGGGGGAGGUGGCGGCGGGGGGGGGGAGCAGUGGCGGUCGACGCACGGAGCCCCCUCCCCACAUGUCGCCACCCCACACACACACCCCCGCCAUUACGCAGCGGGCUGGGGUUGGGGUCCGUGCCUGCAUGGCACGGGGAAAGGCUCAGGAACGCCCCCCCCCCGCCUAAUGAAAGCCCCGAGGGUGCCGCUCGGUGCCCCCCCCGCCCAGCCGGGGCGCCCCCCGGUACGAGCGGGGAAGCCCCCGCCGCCCUCCCCCGCUCGUCGCCGGCCGCAGCCGUGUGGCAACGGUGCCCCCUGCCGGGCAGCCGGCCCUCCCCGUGGGGGGAGACACGGUUUGGUCGAGCUUGAGGGGGUGUUUUGGGGGGUAGGGGGUGUUAAGGUGUGUGCGGUGGGGGCAGCGCGACACCGGGGGGAGGAAGCAAAGGUUGCGAGGUGCAACCCAGAAGGUCCCGCUGACCCUGCUGGAGACACUGCUGGUGUCGGAUGGAAUAAAGCACUGAGUUGCAGACUUAAGAAGAAAAAUAGGCAGAAGCUCGCUCAUGCUGAAGAAUACUGCUCUGGUAAAGGCCACGCGAGCGUAGUUCAGAGGAAGCCGUUCACACCGGGCAGCUUCGCUGAAGGAGCAACGCCAGCCAAGCCUGCUGUGAGCACCUGCAGAUCACAUCCCACUCACUUGAAGCAGGAGGGGAAAUUGUUUCCAGUCAGAAUUGUAGCAUGGACACUUUUUCAGUUCAGAAAAGUACACAGGAUGUUGAUCAUCGUGCCUUUUUUAGUAUAAAUUAAAAACUAUUUGAAUCAGUGUGAAAUUAUUUUCAUGUCUGGGGUAUACUUCAGGGUACAGGUGUAUUCUGUACUUGCUGCUCUUAAGCCAACUCGAAUGUGAAAGCCCACAUUACUUUAAAUCAGUAGAAAUAAUUGAGAAUUGUAGUAGGAAAUUUAAUUAGGGUGUGUUAUGUUAUAAGAACUAUAGAAAUAUUUGCAUGAGUUUCAGGAAUCACUCAUUAUGACUGAUGCUGGUAAUGCUGUUGCUAUUAAAAGCAUUAAUUCAGUUUAUGAACAUGCUGUGUCUCUUUAAUGACAAAUAUGUAUUUUGGAAGGAAAAGUUUUCAUUGGUGUUUUUUUUUUUUUAUUGAAAUUGUGAGCAGAAAUUCUUUGACAGAAUUUGGAUGGGGUUACUCACACAAGCUGUUUGAAUUGCCCAUGCAAUUAAUGGGAAGGUAAGAUGUGCGGUGUGAACCAUGCCUUUCUGUGGGCCCGCACAAUAUCGUUCAAUUACUCCCUUCACCCCACCAAUACUCUCCAUCCGGCUGCAGAAAAAUUAAGAUUAAUAACACCAAGUGUGUUUCUGUAUGCAUUUGUGUGUAUUUGGCUAAUAAAUUCUUCAGCGUGAGUUGUUCA